AUGAUUCGCGAUCCCCAAACUGACUCAAUAGCAGCAGCAGGCCAGUGCCGCACGAUUCUGGUGUGUAAAGACGUUGAUAAAGACCGUCACCAUAGACUGUAUAAAAACACAGAAAACGCAAAGCAGCCGCCAGGCUCACUACAAGCAACCAGUGGUGUCACAGGCCUGAGACUCAGGAGGAAAAGGGGGGUUGACUUCAAUUGGAGCAUUACAUACAAGCCCAAACUAGUAUGAAUAAAUCAGCCCAAAUGCAGGAUGAUUUCAUUUGGCAUUCGGUUGAGGUGAAAGCAGAUCUAGUAAGUAAGAGGAACAUGUUCAUUAAAUAUUUAUCUUUAUUGAUAUAUUUAAAAACUUAUUUAGGAAAUAUAAAUAUAAAAUACACAAUGAACAUAUAAUUAGCUACAUGUUACUGGUAUUCAGAAAACAGUAUGUUUACAUCAAAGUACAGCAGAUCUGCUACAUCUUUUAUACGUUACUACCAGACAGGGUUUUGCAAGUGGAUUAAAUGGGAUAUUCUCCCCAAAAAUUAAAUUACCCAAUCGUUUACCCAACCUCACGUCAUUUCAAAUCUGUAUGUUUCUUUCGGUCUAAAAAAAAUCUAUUGUAAAAGCCAGCUUUUGUUGUUUAGACCUCAGUGUUCUUUAAAAUAUCUAUGUAUUUGUGUUACACAGAAGAAAGAAAUCCAGGUUUGGAAUUACAUGAAGUUGGCAAGAAAUAGAUUUUUUGGAUGAACUAUCUUUUUAACUUUGUGUUAGAUCACAUCUAAUAUUUCUCAAAAGAAAAGCAGUAUUUGUUUUUCUAAUGCUUUUUGGUACACCAACAUAUGGGAAGUACUUUUAGCAAAAGCUGAGUUUUCCAACUCUUUUGAGAUAGAGGAAAGGAUGCACAAACCCUGUCAUGAGCCCAAUACUCAAUGCCCCAGACCAGGACAAAAGAAACCUCUUUAAAUCUAUAAGAUAAUAAAGCCCAAGAGAAAUAAUCAUAGGGCCGUACAUAAGCACUGCAGAUGCCAACACAAUCCGAAUGAUCCGAAAAGCUUUGAGUUUGUCUUGGUUCGUUGCCUCUUUCCUCUUGAAGUCGUCACCAGGUCCAGGUUGCUUCAGAGCCUUCAGGACCAUCAAGCAGCUGAAAACUUUGAUGCUGAAAAAAACAAGCAGUUCUGGCAAAACUAAUUGAUGAAGUUCAAUGAUGUUCAGUGAAACUAUAAAGCUUGAGAUGACUGUCAGAAUCCAUCCGAUGAUGGAUAACGCAAUUCUGUAUUUCAUGGGUUUGAGCUUCAAGAAGGUCACGGGAUAGAGAACCCCUACGUAACGCUCCACACAAGUGCAGCUCUGAAACAGAGGACGGCCGACUAACAGCAGCAUACCAGGAAAGUAUACGCCAAACUUGCAAUUGGUACAGUUAAAGAAAUACUGCUGUAUGAUAAAAACAUAAGAAGAGCAGAAGACGACCUCAACGAGUGCCGCAUUGAAGAUGAAGAUUUCGGUCGACUGUCCCUGAAUCAUCUCUUUCACACUCAGCCACAGGAUGUAACAGUUUGCCGGUAGACUGAGAACCAUGUUGAUGCUGAGAGAGAAGGUAAUAAAGUAGUUGGGUAUAACAUAGCACAAGCUGUAGUUACCUGACAAAAUCAAUGGUGUGCAUGUUGAAGUGUUUGUUUGGUCCCACGUCACCAUUUUUUAAUCUAUAAGAAAACAAUAAAAAUUGGAGGAAGAGAUUGGUAUAGAAGAAAAUAAGUGUAAACAUUUUAAAAAACAAAAUUUGAUCUAAAGAAAAGUAUCUCACAAGAAAGUGUUCUUAGGCUUUUAAACACCAACACGUCCAAAGCACGCUGCCAACCGUGCUUCAAUUCAGCCGACUGAAGGUGGAACUGAUUGUGGUUUGCUUUAAAUGCUGCAGAGAUGAUUCAUAAUUCAGAUUUAUGACUUAUUGAGGAGUUUCAGACAUUUUGAGCAGUUUUGCAUUGAUGCAAUAUUCAAAUUCACGUUUUUCUAACAUGAGCAAUGGAUGUCAAGCAUGCAAAUGGAUGGCAGUUUAUUCCAACCACACUUGCAUUUGUAAAGUUGAAUAAUUUUGUCUGUUCAAUGUAAAAAAUUAUGAAUUUACUGUACAUAGAUUAGUACAAAACAGAUAUGGACAAAUGUAUACAUAUAUAUUAAAGGUGGACAUAGAUUAAUUUUUUAAAUCUAGAUUAAUCUCACUGUGAUCUUGAAAUUAAUCUAGAUUAAAAUGGCUCAUUCGAAUUCUGCCGAAGGCAUUCAGAAUAUGUGUGUUACCCAAAUAAAAUUGACAAACAGUAAGUCUUUGAGAAGGGGUUUAUCAAGCUAGGUGGUGCAUUAGUAAAGGGGCUCAUCUCCUGUUUCCGAAAUGCAUCACAAAGUGCUUGAAAAAGCUGUAAACUAAUUCCACAUUGCACAAGGUGCAAACAACUUUACGCCUGUUUCACACCAAUAUUUAAGUUUU
This is a long non-coding RNA of Carassius auratus (goldfish), 2463 nucleotides long. Lineage: Eukaryota; Metazoa; Chordata; Actinopteri; Cypriniformes; Cyprinidae. The record is from Ensembl.